UGGGAAUCUGCCCUUAGGUUCGGAACAACAGUUAGAAAUGACUGCUAAUACCGGAUAAUGACGUAAGUCCAAAGAUUUAUCGCCUAGGGAUGAGCCCGCGUAGGAUUAGCUUGUUGGUGAGGUAAAAGCUCACCAAGGCGACGAUCCUUAGCUGGUCUGAGAGGAUGAUCAGCCACACUGGGACUGAGACACGGCCCAGACUCCUACGGGAGGCAG
Molecule: ribosomal RNA, 216 nt
Filed under: uncultured bacterium
Lineage: Bacteria
Description: partial 16S ribosomal RNA
Rfam family: Bacterial small subunit ribosomal RNA
Source: RNAcentral